CAUCACGUUCGCCUCUGCCGCUGCAAUUUUUCAGAUCGAUUUGGCCGUAGAAAACGACAUCCACAACUCAUAGAUCGCUCUCAUAUCUCUUUCGUCAAAUCAAAUCUGUCGCGAGGGGCUUCAAUCCGAGCAAUUUCAGCCUUCUUUCAACGAAGGUAACAAUCAUUAGAUUAUUUAAUCAACGUUUACACAACUUGAUAAGAAGGUAACAAUUAUUAUAUUUUUUGGUUAAUUAUUAUCAAUUUUUUCUUCUGUUUUGUUUUAUGUAUUUGGUUCAAUUAAGCUGAAGGGCUUUUGGAUCUGGAUUUGUUUUUUUUUUAUUUUUGAAAAAGGAUAUUUUGAAUUUGGUUAAUGUUUUAUUGUUUAAAUAAUGUAGACAACUAUUCAUUCAUUAUUUUUUUAUUGUUUUUACGAUCUUAAUUUACUUUAGAAAACAUAAAUUGAUAUAUAAUGAAUAAUGUCAUCGGAAAAACAACAUAGUAAUAUAAAAACAACUUUAAUUGGCAAUUUGUGGAUAAAUCAUGGACUUUAUUGUUCAUUUUUUAGUGGACUUUUGUUUUUAUUAUUGUUCUUCUAAACAUUAAACCAAAACAUAAAUCUUAUAUGUCUGUGUUAUUGUUCUUCUGUUGCAUUGUAUAGUGUACUUCGUUAAUUUCAUAGUCGAUUUCAAUAAAUUUAUAGUGGAUUUCGAUAAGUGUAUAUAAAGUGGUUUUCGAUGAAUUUGUAGUAAAUUUUGAUAAGUAUAUAAAGUGGUUUUCAUGUUUAUAUAGCUAUUUAUACAGAUUGGUUUUCAUGUUUAUAUAAUUGUUUAUGCAUAGUGGAUUUUGAUAAGUAUAUACAAAUUGGUUUUCGAUGAAUUUGUAGUGAAUUUUGAUAAGUAUAUAAAGUGGUUUUCAUGUUUAUAUAGCUAUGUAUACAGAGUGGCUUUCAUGUUUAUAUCGUGGUUUAUGCAUAUUGGAUUUCGAUAAGUAUAUACAAAGUGGUUUUCGAUGAAUUUGUAGUGAAUUUUGAUAAGUAUAUAAAGUGGUUUUCAUGUUUAUAUAGCUAUUUAUACAGAGUGGUUUUCAUGUUUAUAUAGUUGUUUAUGCAUAGUGGUUUUCAUUGUUGUUCGCUCAAUUAUUUUUCGUUUCAACAAAUUGAUGCAAUAUUAGUAGGUUGAAAAAAAAUUGUUUAUGAAAGUUUCCAUAAUUACCAAGAUGGUGUGACACCAAGGUUUUAUUUGGAAAUUGGUUUUCAUUUGCUAAUUAACUUUUUUUUCUUAUUCAUAUUGAUUUAGUGACCCUCGUCGGCUUUGUUGGUGGUGUACUGGUCUUGCACUUCUUCCUGGACAUAGUAGUGGUUUACGUUUCAAAUAGUGGAUUUUCGAAUAGUGAAUUUACGUUUUUUUUGUUUUUUAGUUUUGUGUUGUAUUAGUAGUGAAUUAAGUAUGUUUUUAGUGAAUUUCAAUAAGUUUGUUGUGGAUUAUGUUAAUAUUAAAG
This 1478-nucleotide long non-coding RNA is filed under the name Erythranthe guttata (spotted monkey flower). RNAcentral's name for it is "long non-coding RNA (EGUT_LNC002277)". Lineage: Eukaryota; Viridiplantae; Streptophyta; Magnoliopsida; Lamiales; Phrymaceae. The record is from RNAcentral.